AGUUUGGAAAAAGAAGAUAUCUACUAAAGAAGAUAUUGUUGGCUUCCGGCACCCAGGUCAUGGAGACCUCACAGAAUGGGCUAAACAGGGCGUUCUGCUGCUGAAUUCUGUGUUGACAGUGAGAGCUCAUCAACCCACCUCUCAUGAGUGUCAAGGCUGGUAGAUUUUCACAGAUGCUGUGGUCCUGUGGCUCAGCAGGAACCUCAAUGGUCUGGUCUUUCUGCUUUGGGGCUCUUAUGCUCAGAGAAAAGGCAGAGUGAUUGACAGAAAACGUCAUCAUGUCCUUGAGACUACACAUCCAACACCGUACUCAGCACAUUUAGGCUUCUUUGGAUGUAGGCACUUUUCUAAAACUAACAUGCUACUUAAAACAUCAGGAAAGAAGCAAGUUGACUGGAAAGC
Cyprinus carpio (common carp) is the source of this 402-nucleotide long non-coding RNA. RefSeq lists it as uncharacterized. The transcript is spliced from 3 exons. NCBI's taxonomy places the organism in Eukaryota, Metazoa, Chordata, Actinopteri, Cypriniformes, Cyprinidae. The record is from RefSeq and is a predicted model, not a curated record.